AUUGAACGCUGGCGGCAGGCCUAACACAUGCAAGUCGAGCGGAUGAAGGGAGCUUGCUCCUGGAUUCAGCGGCGGACGGGUGGGUAAUGCCUAGGAAUCUGCCUGGUAGUGGGGGAUAACGUCCGGAAACGGGCGCUAAUACCGCAUACGUCCUGAGGGAGAAAGUGGGGGAUCUUCGGACCUCACGCUAUCAGAUGAGCCUAGGUCGGAUUAGCUAGUUGGUGGGGUAAAGGCCUACCAAGGCGACGAUCCGUAACUGGUCUGAGAGGAUGAUCAGUCACACUGGAACUGAGACACGGUCCAGACUCCUACGGGAGGCAGCAGUGGGGAAUAUUGGACAAUGGGCGAAAGCCUGAUCCAGCCAUGCCGCGUGUGUGAAGAAGGUCUUCAGAUUGUAAAGCACUUUAAGUUGGGAGGAAGGGCAGUAAGUUAAUACCUUGCUGUUUUGACGUUACCAACAGAAUAAGCACCGGCUAACUUCGUG
Molecule: ribosomal RNA, 484 nt
Filed under: uncultured bacterium
Lineage: Bacteria
Description: partial 16S ribosomal RNA
Rfam family: Bacterial small subunit ribosomal RNA
Source: RNAcentral